CCUACGGGCGGCAGCAGUGGGGAAUAUUGGACAAUGGGGGCAACCCUGAUCCAGCCAUGCCGCGUGUGUGAAGAAGGCCCUCGGGUUGUAAAGCACUUUCAGUGAGGAAGAACGCCUGGUGGUUAAUACCCAUCAGGAAAGACAUCACUCACAGAAGAAGCACCGGCUAACUCCGUGCCAGCAGCCGCGGUAAUACGGAGGGUGCGAGCGUUAAUCGGAAUUACUGGGCGUAAAGCGCGCGUAGGUGGCUUGAUAAGCCGGUUGUGAAAGCCCCGGGCUCAACCUGGGAACGGCAUCCGGAACUGUCAAGCUAGAGUGCAGGAGAGGAAGGUAGAAUUCCCGGUGUAGCGGUGAAAUGCGUAGAGAUCGGGAGGAAUACCAGUGGCGAAGGCGGCCUUCUGGACUGAAACUGACGCUGAGGUGCGAAAGCGUGGGUAGCAAACAGGAUUAGAUACCCUAGUAGUC
This 465-nucleotide ribosomal RNA is filed under the name Vreelandella stevensii. RNAcentral's name for it is "partial 16S ribosomal RNA". It matches the Rfam family "Bacterial small subunit ribosomal RNA", at positions 338 to 795 of the family's 1533-position model. The record is from RNAcentral. Lineage: Bacteria; Pseudomonadati; Pseudomonadota; Gammaproteobacteria; Oceanospirillales; Halomonadaceae.